GCUCAAUGAAAAUUUUUAAAUAGCUGCAGUAUUAAUAACUGUACUAAGGUAGCAUAAUCAAUAGUUUUUUAAUUAAAAACUUGAAUGAAAGAUUUAAUGAAAAAAUAACUUUAUUUAAUUAAAUAAAAUUAAAAUUUUUAUUUAGAUAAAAAAUUCUAAAUAAUUUAAAUAGACAAAAAGACCCUAAAAACUUUAUAAAUAAAUAAAUUAAUUUUAAAUAUUUAUUUAAUUGGGGAAAUUUAAAAAUUUAAUUAAUUUUUUUUAUAUAAUACAUAAAUUAAUGAAUUAUUUAAGUUUAUUAAAAAAUUAAAUUAAGUUACUUUAGGGAUAACAGUAUAAUUUUUUUUUUAAGCUCAUAUUAAAAAAAAAGUUUAUAACCUCGAUGUUGAAUUAAAAUUUAAAAUUAACGAAAAAAUUAUUUAUUUAAGUCUGUUCGACU
RNAcentral lists this ribosomal RNA (439 nucleotides) under Leptodrepana saltuensis. Its description in RNAcentral is "partial 16S ribosomal RNA". The record is from RNAcentral. Lineage: Eukaryota; Metazoa; Arthropoda; Insecta; Hymenoptera; Braconidae.